CCUACGGGAGGCAGCAGUGAGGAAUAUUGGUCAAUGGGCGCGAGCCUGAACCAGCCAAGUCGCGUGAAGGAUGACUGCCCUACGGGUUGUAAACUUCUUUUAUGAAGGAAUAAAGUGAGGCACGUGUGCCUUUUUGUAUGUACUUUAUGAAUAAGGAUCGGCUAACUCCGUGCCAGCAGCCGCGGUAAUACGGAGGAUCCGAGCGUUAUCCGGAUUUAUUGGGUGUAAAGGGAGCGUAGAUGGUUUGUUAAGUCAGUUGUGAAAGUUUGCGGCUCAACCGUAAAAUUGCAAUUGAUACUGGCAGCCUUGAGUACAGGUGAGGUAAGCGGAAUUCGUGGUGUAGCGGUGAAAUGCUUAGAUAUCACGAAGAACUCCGAUUGCGAAGGCAGGUUACUAAACUGCCACUGACAUUGAGGCUCGAAAGUGUGGGUAGCAAACAGGAUUAGAUACCCCAGUAGUC
RNAcentral lists this ribosomal RNA (460 nucleotides) under uncultured bacterium. RNAcentral describes it as "partial 16S ribosomal RNA". It matches the Rfam family "Bacterial small subunit ribosomal RNA", at positions 338 to 795 of the family's 1533-position model. The record is from RNAcentral.